UAGCUCAAUGGUUAGAGCCGGCGGCUCAUAACCGCUUGGUUGGGGGUUCGAGUCCCUCAGCAACUAACA
Molecule: transfer RNA, 69 nt
Filed under: Mesorhizobium sp. WSM3862
Lineage: Bacteria; Pseudomonadati; Pseudomonadota; Alphaproteobacteria; Hyphomicrobiales; Phyllobacteriaceae
Description: tRNA-Met
Rfam family: tRNA
About the family: Transfer RNA (tRNA) molecules are approximately 80 nucleotides in length. Their secondary structure includes four short double-helical elements and three loops (D, anti-codon, and T loops).
Source: RNAcentral